Molecule: ribosomal RNA, 460 nt
Filed under: uncultured bacterium
Lineage: Bacteria
Description: partial 16S ribosomal RNA
Rfam family: Bacterial small subunit ribosomal RNA
Source: RNAcentral
CCUACGGGUGACAGCAGUGAGGAAUAUUGGUCAAUGGCCGGAAGGCUGAACCAGCCAUGCCGCGUGAAGGUCAGUGCCCUAUGGGCGUUAAACUUCUUUUGUGCGGGAGCAAUAAUGGUCACGUGUGGCCAGACGAGAGUACCGUACGAAUAAGCAUCGGCUAACUCCGUGCCAGCAGCCGCGGUAAUACGGGGGAUGCAAGCGUUAUCCGGAUUUAUUGGGUUUAAAGGGUGCGUAGGCUGUGAGGUAAGUCAGCGGUGAAAUGCCCCCGCUCAACGGGGUGAAGUGCCAUUGAUACUGCCUGGCUUGAAUGCGGAUGCGGUGGGAGGAAUGUGUGGUGUAGCGGUGAAAUGCAUAGAUAUCACACAGAACACCGAUUGCGAAGGCAGCUCACGAAUCCGCGAUUGACGCUGAUGCACGAAAGCGUGGGUAUCAAACAGGAUUAGAUACCCGAGUAGUC